This 254-nucleotide ribosomal RNA is filed under the name uncultured bacterium. Its description in RNAcentral is "partial 16S ribosomal RNA". It matches the Rfam family "Bacterial small subunit ribosomal RNA", at positions 524 to 776 of the family's 1533-position model. The record is from RNAcentral.
GACGAACCGAGCGAACGUUGUUCGGAAUCACUGGGCUUAAAGGGCGCGUAGGCGGGUGCUCAAGUCCGGGGUGAAAUCCUCCAGCUCAACUGGAGAACUGCCUCGGAUACUGGCGGUCUCGAGGAGGGUGAGGGCAGUGCGGAACUAUGGGUGGAGCGGUGAAAUGCGUUGAUAUCCAUAGGAACUCCGGUGGCGAAGGCGGCGUGCUGGACCCUUUCUGACGCUGAGGCGCGAAAGCCAGGGGAGCAAACGGG